This 2077-nucleotide long non-coding RNA is filed under the name Solanum tuberosum (potato). Its description in RNAcentral is "long non-coding RNA (STUB_LNC006247)". Lineage: Eukaryota; Viridiplantae; Streptophyta; Magnoliopsida; Solanales; Solanaceae. The record is from RNAcentral.
AAAUAGAUUGUUACAUAUGUAUGCAAAACGUGGCAUCAUGAAAUUAAUAUUUAUUUUUCAAUUACUUAUUGCAAGUAUAAUAAAAAUGAAGCUCCUAAUCAUCAUAAUUUCUUUUGUUUUUGAAAUGGAAUAAUUAUAUUAAUUGUGCUUCAUAAAAAAAGUAGAAUACUAAAGGACCAAAUGAUAAGCAUUGACAAUACAUGUAGCUAAAUUAUUUAUACAAAUCAAAGUUUAAUUUUUUUUUAGCAAAAAUAGCUAAGUAACUAAUACAAGUCAAAGAAAAAAAAAAUUAGCAAAAAUAAUCUCUAAUUAUGCUCCCCCUUCCUCUUCUAUCAUCUUUCUUUGCAAGGAUAUCCGCCAUCAUAUUUUGCGUUAUAUGUCAAAUUGCUCAUCAUAAGCUAUCAAUUGAAUAAAAAAAAGUUAUAUGAGUAAAUAAAAUAUCAUAUACCAAUUCAAAAAUAAUUAUAUUAAAAGAAAGAAGAAAUUUAAAUUAUAUGUAAUUUAUCUAUAUAUUAUUUUUUCAAUAGUACUAACAAUACUAAAUAAUAAUCAUCUCUUGAAAUCUAACAAAUAUUAUAAUCAGAUUAUAAUAUAUCCCGAAAAUUGACUAUUAGAAAGAAAAAUUGCAUACUGACAAGACAUUAUUCAUUAUUACUAAGGUAUUUUUUUUAACUUUCUUGCUUAGUGAAUGAUAAUACAUACAUAAUAAAAUAUUAAGAAAGCAUGCCCAAGUAAAUAAAAAUAAAAAGAAAGACUUGAGAAUAAAAUAUAUCUUACCUUCAUAUACUUCUUUUUUGUGACAUGUUAGUUAAUUCACAACAAAUAUGAUGAAGAAGAGAAAUGAUAUUGCUGAAUGUGAAUCUUAAUGAAAUUAAAUGAAUUUAUAUAGGUAAAAUAGAGGAAAUGAAAAAAUAAAGACUUGAGAAUGAAACAUUUCUUACCUUCAUGAACGUUUUUUUUUUGUUACUUGAGUGUAAAUCUUCAUGAAAUUAAAUAUGAAUUUAUAGGUAAAUUAAAGAAAUAAGACAUUAUAAACUUACAAAUUUAAGUUUGGAGGUUAUGGACAUAAAAAUUAUGGGAGUUAUGAAUAAUUUUAAAAUUAAAAAUUAAAGAGGUGUAAGUCAUGGAUAAUAAAUCCUUGUGAAUAAAUUAAAUAAUAAAGAGAAAAAUACUUAAAAUAUAAAAUAUUUACUUGAGAUUGAUAGGGGAUGGUAUGAGGUUCCCUGGAAGUGCCUAAUGUUCAGUACUACUGCUCGACCAAAGGCUGUGUUUAUUAUGUGGUUGCAGCUGCAAGCUAAGUUGCUCACUAAAGAUAGGUUACUGAAAUGGGGAUCCAAGGUGGAGCCACAAUGCAUGUUGUGUCAAAAUGAGGAUGAAACUCGCGAUCACUUGUUUGUGAAGUGUUCUUAUACUAGACGACUAUGGGAUGGGUUUGCUAGAUGGAUGCAAAUGACGUCUGAUAUAGGUGGGAAUUGGCAGCAACACCUUACCUGGGCUCUGAAGAAUGCAAAGGGGAAGACUAUAAGAGCUCAGAUUUUCAGAAUGGUAUAUGUUGAAGCUGUGUAUGCAGUAUGGAUUGAGAGGAAUCAAAGAGUGUUCGAGCAGAGGACAAAAGGAGUAGAUAGGAUUAUUAGAACUAUUGCCUUUAUUUGUAAUGUUAGGGCUUCCUCAAGGACUAGGCCUUUAGUUCAGUCUUAGUUGGUAUAAGAGUGGAUGUGAGGAUUUAUGUGUAUAGCAUGUAGAGGAGAGUGGGGAUAGUGUCUAUUCAGUAUUCAGGAUCAAGCUAACUAUGGAUGUUGGCUGCUUUGUAUUGCUUUACAUGUGAUUAAUGGAAACAAGUUAGUUACCUAAAAACAUAAAAUAAAUAAGAUAAGAUAAAAGAUAAAUAAAAAACUAAACUGAAAAAAGCUCAAGUCAUUAAGGGUAUAAACUUUAGUGUUAUUUAAAACUUGAAAGGAAUAAUUUGUAACAUAAAUUUUUAAACUUUUAUGUUAAAGAUUAAAAAUAUUCUAGAAAAUAAGAAAAGGGAAAGAAUUGAAAAAAUAGAUGAAUAUGAAAUUAUGAAUCAUAACCCAAG